RNAcentral lists this unclassified non-coding RNA (18 nucleotides) under Mus musculus (house mouse). RNAcentral describes it as "oocyte_clustered_small_RNA11036". Lineage: Eukaryota; Metazoa; Chordata; Mammalia; Rodentia; Muridae. The record is from RNAcentral.
UGCACGUGGGCAAGCUGA